This 513-nucleotide ribosomal RNA is filed under the name uncultured Paenibacillus sp. RNAcentral describes it as "bacterial SSU rRNA". It matches the Rfam family "Bacterial small subunit ribosomal RNA", at positions 354 to 859 of the family's 1533-position model. The record is from RNAcentral. Lineage: Bacteria; Bacillati; Bacillota; Bacilli; Caryophanales; Paenibacillaceae.
GUAGGGAAUCUUCCGCAAUGGGCGAAAGCCUGACGGAGCAAUGCCGCGUGAGUGAUGAAGGUUUUCGGAUCGUAAAGCUCUGUUGCCAGGGAAGAACGCUUGGGAGAGUAACUGCUCUCAAGGUGACGGUACCUGAGAAGAAAGCCCCGGCUAACUACGUGCCAGCAGCCGCGGUAAUACGUAGGGGGCAAGCGUUGUCCGGAAUUAUUGGGCGUAAAGCGCGCGCAGGCGGUCAUGUAAGUCUGGUGUUUAAUCCCGGGGCUCAACCCCGGAUCGCACUGGAAACUGGGUGACUUGAGUGCAGAAGAGGAGAGUGGAAUUCCACGUGUAGCGGUGAAAUGCGUAGAGAUGUGGAGGAACACCAGUGGCGAAGGCGACUCUCUGGGCUGUAACUGACGCUGAGGCGCGAAAGCGUGGGGAGCAAACAGGAUUAGAUACCCUGGUAGUCCACGCCGUAAACGAUGAGUGCUAGGUGUUAGGGGUUUCGAUACCCUUGGUGCCGAAGUUAACACA